CACGGGUGAAACAGUAUGAAGAUACGUGCUCUUUUAGGAUAUUGGUGACGAAACAUAUUUUUGAAUAUGCAGUUCAUAUAAUGGAAUGGUAGUUUUGAGAUAUAAAAUGAAGUACCAAUGUUGAACUAAACCAUAAAGGAAGGAUCUAAAAUUUAAACUAUGCAUGUUAAAACUAUUAUGAAUGCGGAGUGGGGGUAUUGCACGAUAGCCUCAGUAGUAGUAUGAUACUUUGAUAUCAAAUGGACUACAGUUAAAAAGUUGCAUUUACUACCAAUCCAUGCACAAUAGUAAGAUGUAUGUUCCUGAGCGUAUUAUGGACAAAGAAAAGGGUUGUGGUGUACUUUAAAAUUUUGAACUAAGUACGGUAGAAUGGUUGCCAUACGCCUUCAUAUUACAGAAACCACCAGCGUACACUACAGCAUAAUUACGAUUUCAGUUGUUAUAGUUCACACACAAAUUAAUUGGGCUAGUUUAAUCUCCUGCAUGGUUUAUUCCAUUGGCAAUCAUAUUCAAGAAAAUUCAUAUUCUGUAUGAAGCUUGAUUGAGCCGUAGAUUCACACAGAUACCGAUCAUAGUUAUCUUUUCUUCAUUUACAUAAAUGAAUGUCGGGAAUUCGGAAUAUGGCAGUUAUACAUGUAUCCUCAGUUUAUAUUUAUUUUGAAGCAUUAUCGAACUAAUACGACUUAAAUUUCUCUUUAAAAUUUACUUUGCACUAAAUAUCUAGUAAAUGACUUUACAUGGGAAUAACUUGGGGUGUAUUCAUGUAUACUAGUAUGUAAUGAUAAUAAAAAGAAACCAACAGCACUAUUUGACGAAGACGAAAUUAAGGAUUGAAUUUUAACGUCCAGUGACAUAUAUUACAAUGAUGUCGAAACAGAACUUGAAAUUGACAAUAGGUAUUCCGUCGCGUUUCCAAAGAAUUCACGCUUAGUUGCGAUUUCACGUGCUAUUUUGAAGAGACAUGUUUUGUCGAAAUGCACAUCUGGUGCAAGAAAAUUGGUACCGUUAAUUUUAUUACAACUUCGGGUUCGCAUUAUAGUUAUAUUUGUACAAAAUAACUAACAAUAAAAAAAAUUGUGAUGAUUUCUUUAACUGUUCUUGAACGUUCUAGUUUUAAUAUAAAUCUGUGAUUUUUCUAUAUUCGUACUUUCGACGAAGCAAAGCAAGUUCGAUCUAGACCUGGACAAUUUGAUGCAUUUAGCAAUAUUCAAUCGUUGUACAAAUUUAUUGUAGAACAUGUAGAAAAUCCGUCUUUUUCGGAUAAAAAAAAAUCUACUUUGUUAACUCGGAUCGAAAACUUACAAUAUAGUUAACUUAUUGAAACAUGAACGCGGACUACAUUGAGAACAUCUUGGAUUGAAAGAUUGCAAAUCUAAUGACCAAUGAAAUGCUUUAGAUUUAGAACGCAGACCUCAACGAGAACACCUAGAUGGAUAACACACUGUAAUCUUUAGACCGUCGAACAGAUAGCGAUAAUUCCAGACUUCUUCUUCUUCUUUUUCUUUUAGUUCAAAUAAGGUCACAAUAUAGAAGAGUACAAAGUCAUACUGCCAAGGAAUUGUAUAUUAGGAAUUGUAUAUUUACAAUCCCUUGAUGCUGCUGUACAUGCGUGAUUGACAAAGAUUGAAUAAAAUUGAAUUAUUCAUAAAAAUGUUUAUCACAAUUUAAGUGUUUCUAUAUUAAGAUUGUGAUUAAAAAUAUGCAUUUUAUGUACUUGUUUUGGUUUGGAUUUGUUUAUUCAAAGCUCGCGAGAACAGCUGAUCUCUUAAGGCCGUAACGGUGGUGGUAGAUAUUCACAGAUUUAUUUUUUUACAUAAAAACACACUAUUACAUAUUCAUGUGACAAUAAUAAUGUGUCUGUUUUUUUAAACCAAUUUAGAAUUGGUGUAUAUAUGUCUCCGCUGAUAAUAAUUCUAUGUUAGAUAAACAUAAUUAUUUGGAAUUAAAAUUUGUAUAGUUACAAUAAGUACAUUUUCAAAAUCAUUUAUUUAUUUAGGCUUGAUGAAGAUCUACAUGAUUUAACGAAUAAAUGUAAGAAGAUGUGGUGUACUUGCCAAUGAAUUAGAUCACCGUACAGCCUUCAACAACGAGCAAAAACCUAACCGCAUAAACAUGUAUAUCAUUUCCCAAAAUUACAAACAAUUUAAACAAGAAAACUAUCGGCCUGAUUGAUGUACAACACUUAUAGAAAAAUAUAUACAAAAACGACAACCACUGGUCACUGGGGAUUCAAACCAUAUGUCCCAAUCGAAAAAUAAUUUCGUCAAACAAACGGGAGUUCUUAUCUACAGAACAAAACCUGUAUCCGCCAUUGUACAGUCUCCUGGCUAGUAUACCUGUAGGAUAGUCAAAGAUAAUGGCGUUAAACAAAUAUUGUCUUUAUUUAUGUUUUUAUUCCAUUCAGAUCUUCAAUUUAUCGAUUGAUUAAUAAAAAAACGAAGCAAAUAUUUUAGUUAAUCUACCAGUAAUUAAAUGUCAGUACGAUCUUUCUGAUAAGAUUGUAAGACUAUAUAUUGCUAUUUGGCUGUGAAAUUUGGAGAUUUAGUUUUAUUGAUGCAUUAGAAAGUUAAACUUGAAAAAAAUCAACCCUAGCUUCAUGGUUUAUGGAGAGCUAGGCGCUUAUCCUAUGUCAGUAUAUGUGGAACACCGUAUGGUAUAUUUUUUGGUCUAACAUUGUAAACAGUUCUGAUAGUAAACUAUAUAGAUAUAUUUAUAAACUCAACGUAGAUGGUGGAUUUACUUAGCUAUAGAAAGUGGAAGAUUUUAUGGUAUAGCAAGAAAUAAUAGAAUAUGUACUUUUUGUAAAAAUGAUAUAGAGGAUGAGUUUCAUUUCAUCCUCAAAUGUCCACGUUUUCAAGGUUUUAGAACAAUUUAUAUGAAGCCAUUUUAUUGGAAAAAACCGUCGAUGUACAAAUUUAUUAAACUGAUGAGUACUAAUAAUGUAAAAGAAUUGUGUAAUUUAGGUAAAUUUACAUUUAGAUCUUUUGAGCUUAGAUCCGAAAUGUUAAAAUAAUGUUUGUUUAUUCUACAACACCUUCUGCUGUCACAUAGUCUGUGUUUAUGUAUGUAUUAUAUGUAUUAUUGCUGUUGAUAUAAUUGUAUACCUAUAGUUUAUAUAGACUUUGGUAAUAAAGAUAUAUACUUUC
Mytilus trossulus (common blue mussel) is the source of this 3146-nucleotide long non-coding RNA. RefSeq lists it as uncharacterized. NCBI's taxonomy places the organism in Eukaryota, Metazoa, Mollusca, Bivalvia, Mytilida, Mytilidae. The transcript is spliced from 2 exons. The record is from RefSeq and is a predicted model, not a curated record.